UCCUAGCUCAUGGCCUCAGUACUAG
RNAcentral lists this unclassified non-coding RNA (25 nucleotides) under Mus musculus (house mouse). RNAcentral's name for it is "oocyte_clustered_small_RNA9241". Lineage: Eukaryota; Metazoa; Chordata; Mammalia; Rodentia; Muridae. The record is from RNAcentral.